GCCGUUAUAGCUCAGAUGGUAGAGCACAUGAUUUGUAAUCAUGAGGCCCCGAGUUCGAUUCUUGGUGACGGCACCA
This 76-nucleotide transfer RNA is filed under the name Helicobacteraceae bacterium. Its description in RNAcentral is "tRNA-Thr". It matches the Rfam family "tRNA". Rfam says of the family: Transfer RNA (tRNA) molecules are approximately 80 nucleotides in length. Their secondary structure includes four short double-helical elements and three loops (D, anti-codon, and T loops). The record is from RNAcentral. Lineage: Bacteria; Pseudomonadati; Campylobacterota; Epsilonproteobacteria; Campylobacterales; Helicobacteraceae. RNAcentral also lists the same sequence under 1 other name.